This 253-nucleotide ribosomal RNA is filed under the name uncultured bacterium. RNAcentral's name for it is "partial 16S ribosomal RNA". It matches the Rfam family "Bacterial small subunit ribosomal RNA", at positions 524 to 776 of the family's 1533-position model. The record is from RNAcentral.
UACGUAGGUGGCGAGCGUUAUCCGGAAUUAUUGGGCGUAAAGAGCGCGCAGGUGGUUGAUUAAGUCUGAUGUGAAAGCCCACGGCUUAACCGUGGAGGGUCAUUGGAAACUGGUCGACUUGAGUGCAGAAGAGGGAAGUGGAAUUCCAUGUGUAGCGGUGAAAUGCGUAGAGAUAUGGAGGAACACCAGUGGCGAUGGCGGCUUCCUGGUCUGUAACUGACACUGAGGAGCGAAAGCGUGGGGAGCAAACAGG